Molecule: ribosomal RNA, 253 nt
Filed under: uncultured bacterium
Lineage: Bacteria
Description: partial 16S ribosomal RNA
Rfam family: Bacterial small subunit ribosomal RNA
Source: RNAcentral
UACGUAGGGGGCAAGCGUUGUCCGGAUUUAUUGGGCGUAAAGAGCGUGUAGGCGGCCAAGCAGGUCCGCUGUGAAAACUCGAGGCUCAACCUCGAGACGUCGGUGGAAACCGUUUGGCUAGAGUCCGGAAGAGGAGAGUGGAAUUCCCGGUGUAGCGGUGAAAUGCGCAGAUAUCGGGAAGAACACCCGUGGCGAAGGCGGCUCUCUGGAACGCAACUGACGCUGAGACGCGAAAGCGUGGGGAGCAAACAGG